Molecule: long non-coding RNA, 836 nt
Organism: Ailuropoda melanoleuca (giant panda)
Lineage: Eukaryota; Metazoa; Chordata; Mammalia; Carnivora; Ursidae
Exons: 5
Source: RefSeq, a predicted model, not a curated record
CGGAAAGGCUGGCACUCAGGGAAAAGCUAGAAGGACUGGCACAGGGACAGCGGGCGGGCAUGGGCGUCUUCCCUCCCCUGCACCCCCCCCACCCCCACCCUACCACCCAGACCUGGAGCCUGUGGUGAUCUCAGGGAAACAGUGCGUCCCUAAGCAAACACCACAUGAAGCAGGUGCCAGCGUGCAUUCAUUAAUCGCCCAGGCUGAGAGAAGGGUGGAAGGCCUCCGAGGAAGGGGAGAGGCACUCCCAACCCUAGACCCCAGCCUCGAUCCCAGGCGAUAGCCCUGAAGGAAGGAAGACUAGGCAGGACAUUGCAACAAGGAGGAACAGAACGCUUUGGGAAGAGGAGUGGAGAGAAGGCAAGGGAGAAGGAUGCCGUGCUGGUCCCAGCCAGGACAGGAGCCAGUCUGGGAGGGAGAACAGACAAAGGUGAUCCUAGCAUCCCUAGCCCUGGGACCGGAAGCGGCGGGAAGGUGCUUUCAGGUGAACGCGCGCACCUCCAGCUUCUCUGUCCAGGAAGACUUGACAACUGGCAGAGAAAAGAAAAGGAAAUUAACACCUACCCAAGCACGGUCUCUGCUGCACUUCCCAGGAUAGGCCCUGCGAUCCUGCCUAUGGAGGAGCGACCUGAGAGGUCAGGGGUAACCACCUGGUCUCAGCCCAACCAAAACUCUCCCCAGGGAUGGGAACUGGGACUGAGAGAGAAAAGAGAUGAGUCCUUCUCCAGGUGGCCUGUACACCAGGGAGCUGCUGGAGGCCGUCUUUUGCACCCGUAGGCGGACCGUGGAGCUGAGCAGCGUCUCUGCAGUGAGAGGAACGAGGAAAGCCCGCACAG